RNAcentral lists this ribosomal RNA (751 nucleotides) under uncultured Actinomyces sp. RNAcentral's name for it is "bacterial SSU rRNA". It matches the Rfam family "Bacterial small subunit ribosomal RNA", at positions 28 to 776 of the family's 1533-position model. The record is from RNAcentral. Lineage: Bacteria; Bacillati; Actinomycetota; Actinomycetes; Actinomycetales; Actinomycetaceae.
GACGAACGCGGCGGGCGUGCUUAACACAUGCAAGUCGAACGCUGAAGCCUGGCUUUUGUUGGGUGGUUGAGUGGCGAACGGGUGAGUAACACGUGAGUAACCUGCCCCCUUCUUUGGGAUAACGCCCGGAAACGGGUGCUAAUACUGGAUAUUCACUGGUCUUCGCAUGGGGGUUGGUGGAAAGGGUUUUCUGGUGGGGGAUGGGCUCGCGGCCUAUCAGCUUGUUGGUGGGGUGAUGGCCUACCAAGGCUUUGACGGGUAGCCGGCCUGAGAGGGUGACCGGUCACAUUGGGACUGAGAUACGGCCCAGACUCCUACGGGAGGCAGCAGUGGGGAAUAUUGCACAAUGGGCGCAAGCCUGAUGCAGCGACGCCGCGUGAGGGAUGGAGGCCUUCGGGUUGUGAACCUCUUUCGCUCAUGGUCAAGCCGCAACAAUGGUUGUGGUGAGGGUAGUGGGUAAAGAAGCGCCGGCUAACUACGUGCCAGCAGCCGCGGUAAUACGUAGGGCGCGAGCGUUGUCCGGAAUUAUUGGGCGUAAAGGGCUUGUAGGCGGUUGGUCGCGUCUGCCGUGAAAUCCUCUGGCUUAACUGGGGGCGUGCGGUGGGUACGGGCUGACUUGAGUGCGGUAGGGGAGACUGGAACUCCUGGUGUAGCGGUGGAAUGCGCAGAUAUCAGGAAGAACACCGGUGGCGAAGGCGGGUCUCUGGGCCGUUACUGACGCUGAGGAGCGAAAGCGUGGGGAGCGAACAGG